RNAcentral lists this non-coding RNA (988 nucleotides) under Rhodeus amarus (bitterling). RNAcentral's name for it is "12S rRNA". It matches the Rfam family "Bacterial small subunit ribosomal RNA". The record is from RNAcentral. Lineage: Eukaryota; Metazoa; Chordata; Actinopteri; Cypriniformes; Acheilognathidae.
UAAAGGCAUGGUCCUGACCUUACUGUCAGCUUUAGCCCAACUUACACAUGCAAGUAUCUGCAUCCCCGUGAGUACGCCCUCAAUCCCCCGCCCGGAGAUUAGGAGCAGGCAUCAGGCACACUUAAACCCUAGCCCAAGACGCCCAGCCAAGCCACACCCCCAAGGGAAUUCAGCAGUGAUAAACAUUAAGCCAUGAGUGCAAGCUCGACUUAGUCAGGGCUAAUAGGGCCGGUAAAACUCGUGCCAGCCACCGCGGUUAAACGAGAGGCCCCAGUUGACAGUACUGUUAAACGAGAGGCCCCAGUUGACAGUACUGCGGCGUAAAGGGUGGUUAAAGCCUGCAACUUAAUAAAGCUAAAUAGUCCCCCGGCCGUCAUACGCUUCUAGGCGCUAGAAACCCAAUAUACGAAAGUAGCUUUAGCAUCACCGCCUGACCCCACGAAAGCUGAGGAACAAACUGGGAUUAGAUACCCCACUAUGCUCAGCCAUAAACCCAGACAUUUUUAUACAACACAUGUCCGCCAGGGUACUACGAGCAUUAGCUUAAAACCCAAAGGACCUGACGGUGCCUCAGACCCCCCUAGAGGAGCCUGUUCUAGAACCGAUAACCCCCGUUAAACCUCACCACUUCUGGUCAUCCCAGCCUAUAUACCGCCGUCGCCAGCUUACCCUGUGAAGGUAAUAAAAGUAAGCAAAAUGGGCACAACCCAGAACGUCAGGUCGAGGUGUAGCGCACGAAGUGGGAAGAAAUGGGCUACAUUUUCUUAUGCAGAACACUACGGAUGCGCAACAUGAAAUAGUGCUUGAAGGAGGAUUUAGUAGUAAAAAGGAAAAAGAGUGUCCUUUUGAACCCGGCUCUGAGACGCGUACACACCGCCCGUCACUCUCCCCUGUCAAAAUGCAAUCAAUAUACGUAAUUCCACAGCACUGACAAGGGGAGGCAAGUCGUAACAUGGUAAGUGUACCGGAAGGUGCACUUGGAUAAACC